UACGGAGGGGGCAAGCGUUGUUCGGAAUCAUUGGGCGUAAAGAGUAUGUAGGCGGCUAUUUAAGUCAGACGUGUAAGCCCACGGCUCAACCGUGGAAUUGCGCUUGAAACUAUUUAGCUUGAGUGCAGGAGAGGAAGGCGGAAUUCCCAGUGUAGCGGUGAAAUGCAUUGAUAUUGGGAAGAACACCGGUGGCGAAGGCGGCCUUCUGGCCCGAUAUUGACGCUCAUGUACGAAAGCGUGGGUAGCAAACAGG
RNAcentral lists this ribosomal RNA (253 nucleotides) under uncultured bacterium. Its description in RNAcentral is "partial 16S ribosomal RNA". It matches the Rfam family "Bacterial small subunit ribosomal RNA", at positions 524 to 776 of the family's 1533-position model. The record is from RNAcentral.